CCAGGGAAUACUGAUAGCCUUUUUCCAAUAAAGCGAAAUCUAUUUGCAAUAAUAGGUAUAUGCAAAGACCUCCUGAAAUUACAGGAGCAAACUCCUUCCGCAUCUCGACCUAAUUAAGAUCCGUUACUCAACAGUGAUCAGUCAGAUUUUACUGUAAGAAGGAAGAAAACAAGGAUCCUGCUAGAACAACAUGGAAACAGGGAGGCCACCUCCUGUCAAAGCUGGGACAUCUGAGAGACAGUGGUCACACAACAACUCAACUGCAUGUGCACCUAAAACAGUAGCUUAUUUUCUCUGACUGUUUCUUCUUCUUCUUCUUCUACUCCUUAUUCUUAUUCUUCUUUCUGAUUUACCAACCUACUGGGUAUCAGUGCAAAAAAUUAUUUUACUUGCGAAUUAAUGAUAUCACCACGUUUUCUUGCUUAAACUGUCUUUUUAGGUUAGCUCAGCUACUCUGGGCUAAACAUUCAGUCUUUCAGAUAUACUCCACUUACCUUAGCUCCUCCCAUGGUGGUUCCGGGGUUGGAGAGGCUUACGUGACCUUAUGGUAGCAGGGCAGAGGCAGGGCUAUGCUGCUCAUGGGGCAUUCUGUAAAAGUAAGAUGUGUCUUCCUUAUGAUACCUUCCUUCCAGUUGUUGGAAAGUUGUCGUGCUGCUUUUAUUAGAGCAAGCAUCUUGUUGCCAUAUGCUUUAAAAUGGACAUAAUAAAUGUGCAAAUCUUCAAUGUCUGUUAAAUGAAUGGUGCCCUCUUAGACAUGGAUUUCUUGUGCAACACUCAACCUGCACAACUGUAUGCCAGUCUCUAUUUUUGUACCACAGUAAAGUGCAUGCAUAAGGCUGAAUAUGGGGUUUUCCCCAGAGGCUUGCAGCUAUCUUCAGGAAAAGCAGACUAUUGGCAUUGACCAUCCUGGCAACUCUGGAAAUUCUAUUGAUCUCAGGCCAUGAGGAUCAACAUUUGUCUCCGACAUCCUCAUUUUAACUCUUCUUUGCCUCCUCCCCUUAGACCACUGCGGUCAGGAGCCCAGGCUUUUUCAUUUCCCUGAAUAAUAGAAGCUUCGUUUACAUCAUGAUUGGUUCUCACUACCCCCUGGCAUAGAGAAAACUCCAAUUUUAAGUCAGCCAGGCCUACUUCUUGAUAUGAGAUGGGAGCCUAAGAGGUUUAAAAAGUUCUUUUAUUUCCCCAUAGUGUCUGGCUUUUGAGACUCCACUCACUAGUGACUCACAAACAAUGCUGACUUGCUUUUUCUAGCUAAAGUUUACCCUUUUCCUGAAGCAUAAAACACACUGUUUCUGUGUGUAGGCCCCACAGGGCAGCAGUGUUUUCUGGAUUUGAAAAAUUUAACAGAAAAGCUCUCAAAAAAUUGUAUUAUUUUAUCUGUCUUUUGUGGCAGUUUAUUGAAAGCUAUAAGAGGAAGCCAAAAACCACCAACAUUUUGAAUUUUUCCUUCCAAAGUCUUGAUUCCAGACCCUUGGUGGACAUUAUCUGAGUCUCGGGAUAUAGCAGGAAAUAGUUUAACCAGAGAUUUUGCUACCACUUAACAUGGGUUACUAACAUCACAAGCUAGCUCUAUCUUGGCAUUGCCUUCUCCACUGCAGCUCUUCAGCUCUGCCUAUUCAACAGUCUGGAGUCUGUAACAUCACCCUCACUUCCAUGUUCCAAAUUCCAUUAGGAUCCUUCAGGAUUCAAGGAACAAAAAUACCAGAUUCACAUUAAAAUAAUAAGGAAGUGUAUUUGGUUCAUGUACCUGCAAUAUUCAAGACUCUCUGUAUCUUUAGGACACAGCUCCAGUGUUGUGUGAUUCCCUGAGCUCUCCUUUUUCCCAUGCAUUGGCUAUUUCAUGUUAACAAAAUGGCCACAAGGAUUCCAGGCAUCUCAUUCACAUACCACCACAUCCAGAUUAAAAGAAAGAGUCUUUGUCCCAGAAUCUAAGCAAGUUCGGUCACAUGCCCACCACUGAACCAAUCACUGUGGCUUUGAUUGACUUAUUUAGGUACUACGUGCUCCAUUGCUAAAGCCAAGAACCAUGUAGGUCUGGAUGUCAGGCAUUCCUAAAAAGAGGCAGCUCUGAAGUGUCAGCUGAAACAUUAUGAGAUGUUACAUUUAGAAUGGAGAGUUGAUUUCUCAUAAAGGGUUACAGCCUG
This 2141-nucleotide long non-coding RNA is filed under the name Homo sapiens (human). RNAcentral's name for it is "HSALNT0214384". The record is from RNAcentral. Lineage: Eukaryota; Metazoa; Chordata; Mammalia; Primates; Hominidae.